Non-coding RNA from Salmo salar (Atlantic salmon), 54 nucleotides. NCBI's taxonomy places the organism in Eukaryota, Metazoa, Chordata, Actinopteri, Salmoniformes, Salmonidae. The record is from Rfam.
CAUGAAAUUAAAUGUAUGUCGCUCUGGAUAAGAGCGUCUGCUAAAUGACUAAAA